GCAGUGGAUCUCUGUUCAGAGAGGGAGGAGGAGAGAGAAGGAGGGAGGGAAGAAAGGAGAGAGGGAGAGAGCCAGAAAACAGAGCAAGAUAAAGGAAGAGAAUGCACCUGAAAUAGACACAAGGAUAAAUGGAUCAAGGAGAGAGGAGAAACAGAUAAUCACAACAGCGAAUAUUUGUUAAAUGCAUGCUCUUUGCCAGACUCUCCAAGAUAUGCAGAGCUUUGGGCCAGGAUCCUACAGCCACGGGUCAUGCAGAGCCAGUUGGCCACAUCCUUUGGGCCAAAUUUGGUCCUAACCAGGUCUUACCACGGUAACUGCUAACCAGUCCAUCUUCAGUUAAUAUUUCAUGCGUAAGAUGUUUCAUGAAGUAACUGAAUGGGCUAAUGGGUUGUUCACUGGAUAAGACUCCCAGAUACUCCCUUUCAUGCCAUUCCCCAGAAUUCCUUCACCUCCCAGUGCUGUCUGUAAGGGUGAAGAUACUCCAUUUUGCCCCAUGCUCUUUGCUGUGCCCCAGAUAGGCUCAAACAUUUUUCCCUUUUGGGGAUUUUGCAGGUAGGAAUUGUUGAACAUCUUACCAUUUAAUCCAGAAGUUAUGUCCUUUAAGGAAUCGACCCUGAGCCUGUGAGUUUUACUUUGGGUUGGGGGUGAAGGAGUGGACCUUGCAGCAUUCAAGGUCAUCCAAGAUCAUCCAGUUAAGGCCCCUAAGGUCACUACGGGGGGAAAAGCCUGGUGAGGGAAGAGAAAGCAUUAGGGGGAGCUGCACCGUGCUGAGAAAUAACACCACACAGAAGUCUGUGUUCUAAUCUCAGCUCUGCUUUGCAUUACUGUGUGACCUGGAGCUGAUCACAGCCCUCUGAGUCUUAAAGGGGUUGGACAAGGCCAACUAAACAUUAGAAACACCUGAAAGUGCUGGUUAAAAGGAAGAAUGCAUGAGCUUCACUCCAGAUUUACUAUAUCAGAAUUUCCAGGGUCAGGGUCCAAGAAUCUGCAUGUUUAAUACGCUUUCCACAUGAUUUUUCCCCCCUCUGGACUUAAGAAAACAAUGGGCAAGUCAGCUCAUGAAGAACUUUUCAGAUAUUCAGACUAUUAUUCUGAGAGAGAAAAUAUUGGCAGAGAACAGAUGGGAUUUUUCUCAAGGAAAAGAAAUGGAAAUCCUACAUCUUGCAAGAAAUAGAAAAAAAUAAAUAAACUGUUUGAAGAAGAAUCACAUCAGGCUGGCAGGAGAGAGCCUGCGGCUCGGUGUCUGACCCAGAAUGUUAAAGCCAGCCUGGCUUGGCUCCAGGAUAAAGGACACUCUGUCAGCCUCUCCACAUUGAUUCAUCUCCCCAGCCCCAAGAUCAGGAGAGCAUUCUGUUCCUUGAAGCAUUUUAUGACUGUAAGUCAGAAGUGCUGCAGUUUUAAUAAAAAGCUGUAUUGUCCUGAUCUUGUGCAAUAUACUGAACUAUCAUUUUCCAACUGUUGGCUUGCAUACUGGUUUGUGUGAGUAAGCCCGUCCAUCCACAUCACUAAAAGAUAGUAGUAGUAACAACAAUGAC
Molecule: long non-coding RNA, 1535 nt
Filed under: Homo sapiens (human)
Lineage: Eukaryota; Metazoa; Chordata; Mammalia; Primates; Hominidae
Description: HSALNT0227531
Source: RNAcentral